UUUUUUCAUUAUUAUUUUUGCUGCAGGUGAGAAACAUGAUGCACGUGCGCGUUAAAUAUUAAACGCACGUGCAGGGUAAAUAUUAAACGCGGUUUUUUUCUUUCUGACGUUUGCGGUGAGUUGCAGCUUGUGGAUCGAUAUUGACACGUGUAGGGGUAGAGUUAUGGUGGGAGAGCACCGCUUUCUGAAAUCGUUCGGCGGUGUGUGAAAUCUCGUGGCAACUUGGCGAUAGAGAGGGAGGGGUGAAAACCGUGGUAAACGUGGGAACGGUUGUUGAGGUGCAGAGAAAGUAGUUUGGUGAAGUAUUCAACAGUGGCAAGGAAUGUACAAUAGAGUUUUUAGUGGAGCUGGGAGGGGCGAGAUAAGGGAACGAAGGGAUUAGAAACAUGUCGGAUGCGAUCAUACCAGCACUAAAGCACCGGAUCUCAUCAGAACUCCGAAGUUAAGCGUGCUUGGGCGAGAGUAGUACUAGGAUGGGUGACCUCCUGGGAAGUCCUCGUGUUGCAUUCC
RNAcentral lists this ribosomal RNA (510 nucleotides) under Hordeum marinum (seaside barley). The record is from RNAcentral. Lineage: Eukaryota; Viridiplantae; Streptophyta; Magnoliopsida; Poales; Poaceae.